GAUGAACGCUGGCUACAGGCUUAACACAUGCAAGUCGAGGGACCGGCGCACGGGUGAGUAACACGUAUCCAACCUGCCCUUUACUCGGGGAUAGCCUUUCGAAAGAAAGAUUAAUACCUGAUAUAAAGGACGGGGAUGCGUUCCAUUAGGUUGUUGGUGAGGUAACGGCCCACCAAGCCUUCGAUGGAUAGGGGUUCUGAGAGGAAGGACCCCGACAUUGGAACUGGGACACGGUCCAAACUCGUAGGGGAGGCAGGAGUGAGGAAUAAAGGGCAAGGAGCGUUAGCCUGAACCAGCCAAGUAGCGUGAAGGAUGAAGGCUUAUGAAUCGUAGACUUCUGUUAUAAAAGAAUAUGUAUUAAAUGAAUAAGGAUCGGCUAACUCCGUGCCAGCAGCCGCGGUAAUAC
This 406-nucleotide ribosomal RNA is filed under the name uncultured bacterium. Its description in RNAcentral is "partial 16S ribosomal RNA". It matches the Rfam family "Bacterial small subunit ribosomal RNA", at positions 28 to 526 of the family's 1533-position model. The record is from RNAcentral.